CCUCCUUCCCCUCUCAAGGGGUGCAGGACUUGGGAGAGCUUGGAGAGCGCUGGGUGAAGGAACCAGUGGCAAAUGAGCUGAAACGAGCUUGUUAUUUCUCUCUCCCCAUCACACCUCCCACCUGGCCCAUGGGCUUAACAGCAACAAGCAAGGUGUGCAGGGCCACCCUCGUCCAAAGCACAUUCCCACAAAGCCUGGCUCAGUCAGGAAAAACACCUCUGCAAGCCCGUUGUCUAACAUUUAAAUUGUGGUCCUAAGCCCUGACCCCACAAGGAGUUUGACAGCUUGGAAACAGGUGCAGAAAUGCUCCCGAGACUCUUGGCACUGUUUUCCUGCUGUUCCACGGGUCAGCCUAAGGCUCGCAGAAGGCCAUGUGUGGGCAUGGGGUGGAGAGCAGACCCCAUCUGCCCACCUGGGUUCUGGGGUGCUGCCCAGUGUGCUGCAACAGCACAGGACCCUGAGGCUCCAUGCCUGGUGGCUGCUUAGCCCACCCCUUAUUUUCCAGAUGGGAAAGCUGGCUCUGCCAGGGGCAGGGCUUAUCCGUGUUAGCACAGAUCGGCCCCCAUGUAACAGUGAUGCAGCAGCCCUGGAUGUGGGCCCAUCAGGCAAGGGACAGAGUCCCUUCCUCUGAAGGCCUGACCUAUUUGGGACAGUAUUACUCAGCCCGCAGGAUUCCCAGGGACGUUAUGGGAAACCAGAACGAGCUUCCUCAGGGACGCUUUCAGCCCAGGGGAGAACAGGCAUGUGAAUUGGAUGGAGGGGAUUUUACCCAGGCGAAGCCCUUGCUGUCAGUGACUCCCUGGGCCCUGGGUGUUUGCUUAAGGUAUAGAACAAAAUUAUUUCAAAUUGCAUAUUAAACAUUUCUUUUUUGUUCAAGAUCAUGCCCAUCUAAGAUAUAUACAAUGAAGGAAAACAUCAAAAUGUUUUUUGCUUGUAGCUCCAUUUGCGGCUUGGCCUGGAAUUUCCUCCAUGUGUUUGCAUGCGGAGUCAUGGGGGCCUGGCUGACCCCACUUCCUGUCCCGUCCACCCAUAAGAUGGGGCACCGAGGCACUUCGUGGGAAGAGGAAUGGACUUACCCCUGCAUCCCUGCCCCACGGCUCGGCAAGGGGCUCCAUCAUCCCCUGCAGCCUUUGGGGGCCACGGAGGAGCAGCCAUUCUCUUCCUCCCAAGGCACCGUCACAAAGACAAGCUCACAGUGUGAUGGGCUCAUCGGGAUUUGCCGGUGCUUUGAAAGCCACCCUUGGGCCCCACGUGGACCGCCCGUGGUAAGCCCCUGGGCAAAGCUCCCUGCACAGACAGACGCCCUGGUCCUGCCGGCUGCCUCUGUCCCCUUCUCACGGAGCCCUGGG
This 1349-nucleotide long non-coding RNA is filed under the name Sus scrofa (pig). RNAcentral's name for it is "lncRNA (ENSSSCG00055017623.1)". Lineage: Eukaryota; Metazoa; Chordata; Mammalia; Artiodactyla; Suidae. The record is from RNAcentral.